Non-coding RNA from Ceratotherium simum simum (southern white rhinoceros), 512 nucleotides. The record is from RefSeq and is a predicted model, not a curated record. NCBI's taxonomy places the organism in Eukaryota, Metazoa, Chordata, Mammalia, Perissodactyla, Rhinocerotidae.
GACAUCUAUCUCGAAUGUACUUAACUUGAUUUUAAGUCAUGAUAAUCACAAGCAGAAUAGUCCAUUCCUCCACUUAGAGUCAAUCCAGUGAAGAAAUUCACUAAAGUACACAUGGAUAAGGAGAAUAACAAAGUGGUAUUCACUGGGUUCUUUAAAUCAGCAAGUAGAUUUUAGAAAGACUUUAUUUGAAUUCCUUGAUCUCUGCCAGUCCAUCUGUUUACACCAAUUGUUGGGAAAACACUCAAUAGAACAUUUCCAAACAGCAAACAGCAGGUUUAGAACACGUGACUUCCUCACUAAUCACAUUUAAAUAGCACAGAGUUAGAAGUCAGAUUCCCCACAGGACACUGGAGAAAGCUUGAACUCUUAAUCUUCAAAGAAAAAACUCAAAAGGAAAAUGAUGUUCAAGCUAUCACUCAUCAGCCUGUUCCUCCUGUUUGUUGAUAACCCUUCGGGGACAACUCUAACACCAAUGGCCUCAAGUUCUGUGACAGUCUUGAGUCCCAAUGUGA